RNAcentral lists this ribosomal RNA (969 nucleotides) under Brotogeris cyanoptera. RNAcentral describes it as "12S ribosomal RNA". It matches the Rfam family "Bacterial small subunit ribosomal RNA". Lineage: Eukaryota; Metazoa; Chordata; Aves; Psittaciformes; Psittacidae. The record is from RNAcentral.
AAAAGACUUAGUCCUAACCUUACCGUUAAUUCUUGCUUGAUAUAUACAUGCAAGUAUCCGCACCCCAGUGCAAAUGCCCUGCCCCCUUACAAGGCACAAGGAGCGGGCAUCAGGCGCACACACUGUAGCCCAAAACGCCCAGCCCCGCCACACCCCCACGGGUACUCAGCAGUAAUUAACAUUAAGCAAUGGGCGAAAGCCUGACUUAGUCAAAGCAAUUAGGGUUGGUAAAUCUUGUGCCAGCCACCGCGGCCAUACAAGAAACCCAAAUUAACCGUAUGCGGCGUAAAGAGUGGCCCAAGACUACCACAACAAAUUAAGGCCAAACUACGGCCCAAGCUGUCAUAAGCCCAGGGCCCCACGAAACCCAACCUAAAGAUGGCCUUAACACCCCCGAUCAAUCCUACCCCACGAAAGCCAGGAUACAAACUGGGAUUAGAUACCCCACUAUGCCCGGCCCUAAAUCUUGAUGUUCACCUAACACAAACAUCCGCCUGAGAACUACGAGCACAAACGCUUAAAACUCUAAGGACUUGGCGGUGCCCUAAACCCACCUAGAGGAGCCUGUUCUAUAAUCGAUAACCCACGAUCCACCAAACCACUUCUCGCCAAAAUCAGCCUACAUACCGCCGUCGCCAGCCCACCUCCAUGAGAGUGCAACAGUGAGCCAAACAGCCCAUCAACCCGCUAAUAAGACAGGUCAAGGUAUAGCCUAUGAAGUGGAAGAAAUGGGCUACAUUUUCUAAAAUAGAAUAAACCAACGGAAGGGGGCCUGAAACCUGCCCCCAGAAGGCGGAUUUAGCAGUAAAGCAGGACAAUCAAGCCUUCUUUAAACUGGUCCUAGGGCACGUACACACCGCCCGUCACCCUCCUCACAAGCCCACAGACACACUAACUAAUACAACAUAACAGCUAAAGAUGAGGUAAGUCGUAACAAGGUAAGUGUACCGGAAGGUGCACUUAGCACAU